UCUGGCGGGCAAUUAGCGCGGUGGUCCCACCUGACCUGCUGCCGAACUCAGAAGUGAAACGCCGUAGCGCCGAUGGUAGUGGGUCUCCCAUGCGAGAGAGUAGGAACUGCCAGCA
This 115-nucleotide ribosomal RNA is filed under the name Salmonella enterica subsp. enterica. Lineage: Bacteria; Pseudomonadati; Pseudomonadota; Gammaproteobacteria; Enterobacterales; Enterobacteriaceae. The record is from RNAcentral.